This 430-nucleotide unclassified non-coding RNA is filed under the name uncultured fungus. RNAcentral describes it as "partial contains small subunit ribosomal RNA, internal transcribed spacer 1, and 5.8S ribosomal RNA". The stretch from base 1 to 73 matches the Rfam family "Eukaryotic small subunit ribosomal RNA", at positions 1759 to 1831 of the family's 1831-position model. The record is from RNAcentral. Lineage: Eukaryota; Fungi.
GCAAACUUGGUCAUUUAGAGGAAGUAAAAGUCGUAACAAGGUAACCGUAGGUGAACCUGCGGUUGGAUCAUUACAAAAUCUUAAAAAAAGUUGGGAGGAGGUCAAAUCAUUGUUGGGCUUUGCUUUUCAACGGGCGAGCCUCGCAAUGUGUUUCCUUCACCCGGCGACACCAUCUGUGAACUGUUUUUCUUAUAAUUUUGUGAUGAGGGAAAGAACCAAUUCUAAAGCAUGGUUUGCUUUGGUUGUUGGGACUUUCCCUUCGUUACAAAAUAUAUUAUUCCCACUUAAAAGGAGUUUCUUUUUGGGUGGGGAUAAAAAGACAAACUUUAUAACCCAAAAUCCUUAAGUCUCAAAAAAACAAUUUUCAUAAAAUGAAAAAACAACUUUUGACAACGGAUCUCUUGGCUCUCGCAUCGAUGAAGAACGCAGC